This 467-nucleotide ribosomal RNA is filed under the name uncultured bacterium. RNAcentral describes it as "partial 16S ribosomal RNA". It matches the Rfam family "Bacterial small subunit ribosomal RNA", at positions 28 to 507 of the family's 1533-position model. The record is from RNAcentral.
GAUGAACGCUGGCGGCGUGCUUAACACAUGCAAGUCGAACGGAAAGGCCCAAGCUUGCUUGGGUACUCGAGUGGCGAACGGGUGAGUAACACGUGGGUGAUCUGCCCUGCACUUCGGGAUAAGCCUGGGAAACUGGGUCUAAUACUGGAUAGGACCACUUCUUGGAUGUUGUGGUGGAAAGUUUUUUCGGUGUGGGAUGAGCUCGCGGCCUAUCAGCUUGUUGGUGGGGUAAUGGCCUACCAAGGCGUCGACGGGUAGCCGGCCUGAGAGGGUGUACGGCCACAUUGAGACUGAGAUACGGCCCAGACUCCGACGGGAGGCAGCAGUGGGGAAUAUUGCACAAGGGGCGCAAGCCUGAUGCAGCGACGCCGCGUGGGGGAUGACGGCCUUCGGGUUGUAAACUCCAUUCGCUAGGGACGAAGCGUUUUGUGACGGUACCUGGAGAAGAAGCACCGGCUAACUACGUG